This 332-nucleotide ribosomal RNA is filed under the name uncultured Coxiella sp. RNAcentral describes it as "bacterial SSU rRNA". It matches the Rfam family "Bacterial small subunit ribosomal RNA", at positions 568 to 898 of the family's 1533-position model. The record is from RNAcentral. Lineage: Bacteria; Pseudomonadati; Pseudomonadota; Gammaproteobacteria; Legionellales; Coxiellaceae.
CGCGUAGGUGGCUCUAUAAGUUAAGUGUGAAAUCCCAUGGCUUAACCAUGGAAUUGCACUUGAUACUGUGGAGCUAGAGUAUGGUAGAGGGAAGUGGAAUUUCCGGAGUAGCGGUGAAAUGCGUAGAUACCGGAAGGAACACCAGUGGCGAAGGCGGCUUCCUGGACCAAUACUGACACUGAGGCGCGACAGCGUGGGGAGCAAACAGGAUUAGAUACCCUGGUAGUCCACGCCGUAAACGAUGAAAACUAGCUGUUGGGUGUAUUUAUACACUUAGUAGCGCAGCUAACGCGAUAAGUUUUCCGCCUGGGGAGUACGGCCGCAAGGUUAAA